AAAAAGGCGAUGACGGAGAGGAGUAACCACCGAGGGGCUGCACAGCGAGCCGGGGAGGGUGGGAGCCGGUUGGUCCUGGUGGUGAAGGGCGCUCUUGAGCUGCAAGAGGAACCCCUGAGAAGUGCUCAGUUCUCAGGGUAGUAAAGCUUGCUAUAGAAACGAGGGGGUGCUCUUUCUUGAGCACCAAACAGGGUGGAACCGCGGGAGAAAUCCCGUCCCUGUG
Molecule: non-coding RNA, 223 nt
Filed under: Thermoanaerobacterales bacterium
Lineage: Bacteria; Bacillati; Bacillota; Clostridia; Thermoanaerobacterales
Description: T-box sequence
Rfam family: T-box leader
About the family: Uncharged tRNA acts as the effector for transcription antitermination of genes in the T-box leader family. T-boxes are found upstream of many aminoacyl-tRNA synthetase genes and some amino acid biosynthetic genes usually in Gram-positive bacteria.
Source: RNAcentral